GACGAACGCUGGCGGCGUGCUUAACACAUGCAAGUCGAACGGAAAGGCCCUGCUUUUGUGGGGUGCUCGAGUGGCGAACGGGUGAGUAACACGUGAGUAACCUGCCCUUGACUUUGGGAUAACUUCAGGAAACUGGGGCUAAUACCGGAUAGGAGCUCCUGCUGCAUGGUGGGGGUUGGAAAGUUUCGGCGGUUGGGGAUGGACUCGCGGCUUAUCAGCUUGUUGGUGGGGUAGUGGCUUACCAAGGCUUUGACGGGUAGCCGGCCUGAGAGGGUGACCGGCCACAUUGGGACUGAGAUACGGCCCAGACUCCUACGGGCGGCAGCAGUGGGGAAUAUUGCACAAUGGGCGGAAGCCUGAUGCAGCAACGCCGCGUGCGGGAUGAUGGCCUUCGGGUUGUAAACCGCUUUCGCCUGUGACGAAGCGUGCGUGACGGUAAUGGGUAAAGAAGCACCGGCUAACUACGUG
RNAcentral lists this ribosomal RNA (468 nucleotides) under uncultured bacterium. RNAcentral's name for it is "partial 16S ribosomal RNA". It matches the Rfam family "Bacterial small subunit ribosomal RNA", at positions 28 to 507 of the family's 1533-position model. The record is from RNAcentral.